CGUGGAUUGAUGUAAUAGAAACAUACCUGGCUCAUGUCCAGGAUAUAGGGGUUCAAAUCCUCUGUCCGCAU
This 71-nucleotide transfer RNA is filed under the name Coniothyrium glycines. Its description in RNAcentral is "tRNA-Met". It matches the Rfam family "tRNA". From Rfam's summary of the family: Transfer RNA (tRNA) molecules are approximately 80 nucleotides in length. The record is from RNAcentral. Lineage: Eukaryota; Fungi; Ascomycota; Dothideomycetes; Pleosporales; Coniothyriaceae.